Molecule: ribosomal RNA, 432 nt
Filed under: uncultured bacterium
Lineage: Bacteria
Description: partial 16S ribosomal RNA
Rfam family: Bacterial small subunit ribosomal RNA
Source: RNAcentral
AACGAACGCUGGCGGCAUGCCUAACACAUGCAAGUCGAACGAGACCUUCGGGUCUAGUGGCGCACGGGUGCGUAACGCGUGGGAACCUGCCCUUAGGUUCGGAAUAACUCCCCGAAAGGGGUGCUAAUACCGGAUAAUGUCUUCGGACCAAAGAUUUAUCGCCUUUGGAUGGGCCCGCGUUGGAUUAGCUAGUUGGUAGGGUAAAAGCCUACCAAGGCGACGAUCCAUAGCUGGUCUGAGAGGAUGAUCAGCCACACUGGGACUGAGACACGGCCCAGACCCCGCGGGGAGGCGGGAGGGGGGAAUAGGGAAGAGGGGGCAAAGGUCAGACCCAUCAAUGCGGGGGGAGUAAGGAGGGCGUGGGGGUUGAAAAUCUUUUUUACCGGGGAGAAUAGGGACGGACCGGGGAGAAAAAGCCCCGGCUAACCCCGC